CCACGCUCCAAUAGCGUAUAUUAAAGUUGUUUGCAGUUAAAAAGCUGCGUAGUUGAAUUUCGGGGUCAGAAAGUCGGUCGAACCAAUGGUAUGAACUGGUUUUAACAUGAUUCCUCCCUCNNUGAAGAACUGUAAGGCCAUUAAAUUUGGUGUUGCAGGGAUCAGGACUGUUAUCUUUGAAAAAAUUAGAGUGUUUAAAGCAGGCUUUAGCUUGAAUACAUUAGCAUGGAAUAAUGAAAUAGGCCGUGUGAUCCUAUUUUGUUGGUUUCUAGGAUUGACGUAAUGAUUAAUAGGGAUAGCUGGGGGCAUUAGUAUUCAAUUGUCAGAGGUGAAAUUCUUGGAUUUAUUGAAGACUAACUACUGCGAAAGCAUUUGCCAAGGAUGUUUUCAUUAAUCAAGAACGAAAGUUAGGGGAUCGAAGACGAUCAGAUACCGUCGUAGUCUUAACCAUAAACUAUGCCGACUAGGGUANAAAGGGGNUGUUAAUUUUUUAAUGACUCA
Molecule: ribosomal RNA, 501 nt
Filed under: uncultured Glomeromycotina
Lineage: Eukaryota; Fungi; Glomeromycota
Description: bacterial SSU rRNA
Rfam family: Eukaryotic small subunit ribosomal RNA
Source: RNAcentral